UUGAUGAACGCUAGCUACAGGCUUAACACAUGCAAGUCGAGGGGCAGCAUGGUCUUAGCUUGCUAAGGCCGAUGGCGACCGGCGCACGGGUGAGUAACACGUAUCCAACCUGCCGUCUACUCUUGGACAGCCUUCUGAAAGGAAGAUUAAUACAAGAUGGCAUCAUGAGUCCACAUGUUCACAUGAUUAAAGGUAUUCCGGUAGACGAUGGGGAUGCGUUCCAUUAGAUAGUAGGCGGGGUAACGGCCCACCUAGUCUUCGAUGGAUAGGGGUUCUGAGAGGAAGGUCCCUCACAUUGGAACUGAGACACGGUCCAAACUCCUACGGGAGGCAGCAGUGAGGAAUAUUGGUCAAUGGGCGAGAGCCUGAACCAGCCAAGUAGCGUGAAGGAUGACUGCCCUAUGGGUUGUAAACUUCUUUUAUAAAGGAAUAAAGUCGGGUAUGCAUACCCGUUUGCAUGUACUUUAUGAAUAAGGAUCGGCUAACUCCGUGCCAGCAGCCGCGGUAAUACGGAGGAUCCGAGCGUUAUCCGGAUUUAUUGGGUUUAAAGGGAGCGUAGAUGGAUGUUUAAGUCAGUUGUGAAAGUUUGCGGCUCAACCGUAAAAUUGCAGUUGAUACUGGAUAUCUUGAGUGCAGUUGAGGCAGGCGGAAUUCGUGGUGUAGCGGUGAAAUGCUUAGAUAUCACGAAGAACUCCGAUUGCGAAGGCAGCCUGCUAAGCUGCAACUGACAUUGAGGCUCGAAAGUGUGGGUAUCAAACAGGAUUAGAUACCCUGGUAGUCCACACGGUAAACGAUGAAUACUCGCUGUUUGCGAUAUACAGCAAGCGGCCAAGCGAAAGCGUUAAGUAUUCCACCUGGGGAGUACGCCGGCAACGGUGAAACUCAAAGGAAUUGACGGGGGCCCGCACAAGCGGAGGAACAUGUGGUUUAAUUCGAUGAUACGCGAGGAACCUUACCCGGGCUUAAAUUGCAGAUGAAUUACGGUGAAAGCCGUAAGCCGCAAGGCAUCUGUGAAGGUGCUGCAUGGUUGUCGUCAGCUCGUGCCGUGAGGUGUCGGCUUAAGUGCCAUAACGAGCGCAACCCUUGUUGUCAGUUACUAACAGGUCAUGCUGAGGACUCUGACAAGACUGCCAUCGUAAGAUGUGAGGAAGGUGGGGAUGACGUCAAAUCAGCACGGCCCUUACGUCCGGGGCUACACACGUGUUACAAUGGGGGGUACAGAGGGCCGCUACCACGCGAGUGGAUGCCAAUCCCAAAAACCUCUCUCAGUUCGGACUGGAGUCUGCAACCCGACUCCACGAAGCUGGAUUCGCUAGUAAUCGCGCAUCAGCCACGGCGCGGUGAAUACGUUCCCGGGCCUUGUACACACCGCCCGUCAAGCCAUGGGAGCCGGGGGUACCUGAAGUGCGUAACCGCGAGGAGCGCCCUAGGGUAAAACU
RNAcentral lists this ribosomal RNA (1439 nucleotides) under uncultured organism. Its description in RNAcentral is "SSU rRNA". It matches the Rfam family "Bacterial small subunit ribosomal RNA". The record is from RNAcentral.